GCUCCCAUAGUCUAGAGGCCAAGGAUAUCACCCUCUCACGGUGAAGACCCGAGUUCAAAUCUCGGUGGGAGCA
RNAcentral lists this transfer RNA (73 nucleotides) under Nanobdellota archaeon. RNAcentral describes it as "tRNA-Glu". It matches the Rfam family "tRNA". Rfam says of the family: Transfer RNA (tRNA) molecules are approximately 80 nucleotides in length. Their secondary structure includes four short double-helical elements and three loops (D, anti-codon, and T loops). Lineage: Archaea; Nanobdellati; Nanobdellota. The record is from RNAcentral.